UCGAGAAUCUUUCACAAUGGGGGAAACCCUGAUGGAGCGACGCCGCGUGGAGGAUAAGGUCUUCGGAUUGUAAACUCCUGUCAUGCGAGAAAAAAGCUUAACGGCCUGAUGGUAUCGCAAGAGGAAGAGACGGCUAACUCUGUGCCAGCAGCCGCGGUAAUACAGAGGUCUCAAGCGUUGUUCGGAAUCACUGGGCGUAAAGGGUGCGCAGGCGGCGUGGAAAGUCAGAUGUGAAAUCCUGGGGCUCAACCUCAGAAUUGCAUCCGAUACUCCCACGCUUGAGUGUUGUAGAGGAGCUUGGAACUCUCGGUGUAGCAGUGAAAUGCGUAGAUAUCGAGAAGAACGCUCGCGGCGAAAGCGAGGCUCUGGGCAAUCACUGACGCUCAUGCACGAAGGCUAGGGGAGCAAACG
This 411-nucleotide ribosomal RNA is filed under the name uncultured Verrucomicrobiaceae bacterium. RNAcentral describes it as "partial 16S ribosomal RNA". It matches the Rfam family "Bacterial small subunit ribosomal RNA", at positions 355 to 774 of the family's 1533-position model. Lineage: Bacteria; Pseudomonadati; Verrucomicrobiota; Verrucomicrobiia; Verrucomicrobiales; Verrucomicrobiaceae. The record is from RNAcentral.